Molecule: long non-coding RNA, 1392 nt
Organism: Thalassophryne amazonica
Lineage: Eukaryota; Metazoa; Chordata; Actinopteri; Batrachoidiformes; Batrachoididae
Exons: 2
Source: RefSeq, a predicted model, not a curated record
ACCUUGUGAGACAGCGAGAGAUGGAACUGUUUGGGUUCAGCGACAAAUUAAGGACUUCAGCACUGUUCAGCCAAUGCAGACAACCCAGAGAUCAGUCAGCAAUGCAGGACCGACGGAGAUUGCAAGACGCAAAGUGACUAGUCGCUUGCAAAGCUUCCUUUGUCUUUUUGACAUCAGCAUGCUGAGGACCAUCAUAGACUGCACAUUACACAAAGCCCGCAAAACAAACCCUGACUGAAGCACAAUGGCAUUCGAGCUGAUGGCAUUCAUUGCUGUUUUAUUCUUCAAAGGAGCGAUUGGCAGAACUGGUGCCAUGCGUGACUGCUGCUCAAAAUGCUUCGGCAUUCCGGAAAUCAUGUCCACAAUGUCCCAAGACCGAUCUGAAGAGUUGAUGCGCUAUUUAUGCUUCGAUAUCAAGGACACCCAUUUGGAACGCAUGCAGACGGACAAAUUUGCUGCCAUUUCAGACAUUUGGGGGUGCUUUGUUCAGAACUGUGUGCUGUCGUACAACCCAGGGCAACACAUAACAGUUGAUGAACAGUUAUUUCUAACAAAGGUCCGAUGUCCUUUUCUGCAAUACAUUGCAUCUAAACCGGACAAGUUUGGAAUAAAGUUUUGGAUUGCAGCAGACUUAGACACUAAGUACAUGUGCAGUGCCAUUCCUUACUUAGGAAAAGACCCCAGCCAUAGGAGAGCGACUUGCAGACAAUGUUGUGACAAGGCUUAUGGAACCCAUUUUGGACAGAUGCAGAACCGUCACUAUGGACAAUUUUUUCACAUUGUUGUCUCUGGUGAACAGGCUUCUACAACGCAACACAACUCUGCUUGCCACAAUAAACAAAAUUCGACGGGAAGUUCCAGAGCAGGUAAAAAACACCAGAGAACGUGAGGAGUUUUCAACACAGGUGUUCACUUCUGGCAGUGCCCUGCUAACAGUUUAUGCAGAAGAAAAAUGUGUCUUCUCAGCACGCUGCAUAAGAAAGUGGAGCUUGAAGAAGAUUUGCGGCAAAAACCAAAUGUAAUCAUAGACUACAACCAUUUGAAAUGUGUUGUUGAUGUGCUGGAUCAAAAACUGCGUGCUUACACAGUGUGCACAGGAACACUUAGAUUACUCCCAGUCUCCCAGUUUUUGGCUACGCAUCAGUACCGGACAUUAGAUUACAGCAACACAGAGAAAAGCUGAAAAAUCUUAAAAAAAGUUAUUACAGGACCACAAUGGACAGAGUAGGUCAGACUGUAAGGGCUGGAAGCGGUUCAAACACAGGAACACUGUUUACGGACACCAAUCAGCGAGCAACAGGAGGCAGGAUGACCGCGACUUGGCCACGGCUUUGUUGGAUGUGACGGUGUGCAGCGGAUAAGAGAAUUUUUAGAGGGGAAUCCUGCAAAUGG